AAUAUUGCGCAAUGGGGGGAACCCUGACGCAGCAACGCCGCGUGAGUGACGAAGGCCUUCGGGUCGUAAACUCUGUCAUAGGGGAAGAAGGAAGUGACGGUACCCUAUGAGGAAGCCCCGGCUAACUACGUGCCAGCAGCCGCGGUAAUACGUAGGGGGCGAGCGUUGUCCGGAAUCACUGGGCGUAAAGGGUGCGUAGGCGGCCAAUUAAGUCAGAUGUGAAAUACCAGGGCUCAACCCUGGGGGUGCAUUUGAAACUGGAUGGCUUGAGUGCAGGAGAGGAAAGUGGAAUUCCUAGUGUAGCGGUGAAAUGCGUAGAUAUAGGAAGGAACACCAGUGGCGAAGGCGACCACCUGGGCUAAUACUGACACUGAGGUGCGAAAGCGUGGGGAGCAAA
This 397-nucleotide ribosomal RNA is filed under the name uncultured bacterium. RNAcentral's name for it is "partial 16S ribosomal RNA". It matches the Rfam family "Bacterial small subunit ribosomal RNA", at positions 360 to 772 of the family's 1533-position model. The record is from RNAcentral.